CACAAUACUCCUUUGGCAGCCACGUUUCUUCUUUUCUCCCCAACUCUUCUCUCUCCUUCACCGUCUCUCUACCUCACCGUCUCUCUCUCAUCAUCUCUCUCUUUCUCUCUAUCUUCCUCUCUUCUCUCUCUCUCUCUAUAUUGAUUCUUGGCUGAAAUACCCAAUUCAUAUUAUCAGCAUAAUCGGGGCUGCGUGGAUGCUUUAGCAAAGGGUAUUAAUGAUCAGCUCAUAUGAUUAGAAAUAUUGGGAAGUCAGAUUUAAAGUGGUGGUGGUCUCCAGCAGCAGUCGCCGGCGGUGGUGGCUGGAAUCCGACAAAGAAGAUAAGCUGUCCAAAAUCUGAAUUUCAGCUUUUGGUCCUUUGAAGAAUUAAUUGCUCGGAGGCCUUAAAGGUUGAAUAUUGACGAUCAGGACACACGGUUAGAAACCUCGAGAUGUUAGCUUUCCAUUGGUGUUGGAGCUCGGUAGUAUUAAUCGGCGGUGGUUGCCGGAAUUGGGCGAGAAGUUCAGCCUGCUCGCUGGACUUAUAAUGAAAUCUGCUGCCGCACCUGUUUUCGGAGCCAAAAUCGAAGGGUUUGGAGUAAGAAUUUG
RNAcentral lists this long non-coding RNA (588 nucleotides) under Erythranthe guttata (spotted monkey flower). RNAcentral's name for it is "long non-coding RNA (EGUT_LNC000710)". The record is from RNAcentral. Lineage: Eukaryota; Viridiplantae; Streptophyta; Magnoliopsida; Lamiales; Phrymaceae.